GUGUGAGCAUGUGUGUAUGCAUGUGGGGUGUUUGGAGGGUGGGGUAUUCUGAAGCCCAGUUAGACGAAUGAGGUCACAUCCAUGCCUGAGGGGAAAAAGGCCUCUGCUGUGGGGUCUCCAGGCCAGUGGACAUCAGUGAGAUGCCCAGGCCCACAGCCACACAGGGACUCCCCCCAAUGAUCCUCAAUUACACCAUUGUUCUGAGUGAUUCCACUCUCCCUAGGCUGGUUAGGCAUCAUCUCCUUUCUCCACAAAAAGCUUUGUAAAAGCUUUCAUCCAGUGCGUUAUGGACUGAUGUCAUUACCAGAAACAGUAUUCUCUACAACUAAGCUGAAACGUCAUCAAACAAAGAGUUCUUCCCACGACAUUCCUCAGUUUGAAACAAACAUCGGACUAUCAACAGCAAUGCAUUAAAAGAGAUCCCUUUGAUUGGUGAA
Long non-coding RNA from Micropterus dolomieu (smallmouth bass), 437 nucleotides. RefSeq lists it as uncharacterized. NCBI's taxonomy places the organism in Eukaryota, Metazoa, Chordata, Actinopteri, Centrarchiformes, Centrarchidae. The transcript is spliced from 2 exons. The record is from RefSeq and is a predicted model, not a curated record.